Molecule: ribosomal RNA, 749 nt
Filed under: Staphylococcus saprophyticus
Lineage: Bacteria; Bacillati; Bacillota; Bacilli; Caryophanales; Staphylococcaceae
Description: bacterial SSU rRNA
Rfam family: Bacterial small subunit ribosomal RNA
Source: RNAcentral
CGGCGGACGGGUGAGUAACACGUGGGUAACCUACCUAUAAGACUGGGAUAACUUCGGGAAACCGGAGCUAAUACCGGAUAACAUUUGGAACCGCAUGGUUCUAAAGUGAAAGAUGGUUUUGCUAUCACUUAUAGAUGGACCCGCGCCGUAUUAGCUAGUUGGUAAGGUAACGGCUUACCAAGGCGACGAUACGUAGCCGACCUGAGAGGGUGAUCGGCCACACUGGAACUGAGACACGGUCCAGACUCCUACGGGAGGCAGCAGUAGGGAAUCUUCCGCAAUGGGCGAAAGCCUGACGGAGCAACGCCGCGUGAGUGAUGAAGGGUUUCGGCUCGUAAAACUCUGUUAUUAGGGAAGAACAAAUGUGUAAGUAACUGUGCACGUCUUGACGGUACCUAAUCAGAAAGCCACGGCUAACUACGUGCCAGCAGCCGCGGUAAUACGUAGGUGGCAAGCGUUAUCCGGAAUUAUUGGGCGUAAAGCGCGCGUAGGCGGUUUCUUAAGUCUGAUGUGAAAGCCCACGGCUCAACCGUGGAGGGUCAUUGGAAACUGGGAAACUUGAGUGCAGAAGAGGAAAGUGGAAUUCCAUGUGUAGCGGUGAAAUGCGCAGAGAUAUGGAGGAACACCAGUGGCGAAGGCGACUUUCUGGUCUGUAACUGACGCUGAUGUGCGAAAGCGUGGGGAUCAAACAGGAUUAGAUACCCUGGUAGUCCACGCCGUAAACGAUGAGUGCUAAGUGUUAGGGGGUU